GACGGAGGAUGCAAGUGUUAUCCGGAAUCACUGGGCGUAAAGCGUCUGUAGGUGGCUUUGUAAGUCUGUUGUUAAAUCUUGAGGCUCAACUUCAAAUCAGCAAUGGAAACUACAAGACUUGAGUAUGGUAGAGGUAAGAGGAAUUUCCAGUGGAGCGGUGAAAUGCGUAGAGAUUGGAAAGAACACCGAUGGCGAAGGCAUCUUACUGGGCCAUUACUGACACUCAGAGACGAAAGCUAGGGUAGCAAAUGGGAUUAGAUACCCCAGUAGUCCUAGCAGUAAACGAUGGAUACUAGACGUUGCGUGUUUGCCACAGUGUCAAAGCUAACGCGUUAAGUAUCCCGCCUGGGGAGUAUGCUCGCAAGAGUG
Molecule: ribosomal RNA, 369 nt
Filed under: uncultured phototrophic eukaryote
Lineage: Eukaryota
Description: SSU rRNA
Rfam family: Bacterial small subunit ribosomal RNA
Source: RNAcentral